UCUUAAUUUUAUACUUGAAACAAUUGAGGCUUGAAGAUAUUAAGUGUCUUAUCAGGCUAGUUACAUAAAGGAAAUUUCAACUGGGAUGAAAUACUAGCAUCUGGAUCAAAGGUGAAAAGACUCCAUUUAUUUCUACCAAUUCAGACAAUGCAGUGUUAUACAUACACUGAAUGAAUAUUCUGGAUGGCAUUGAUUUGGCAAAACAAAAACAAACCAAUACAGCAAUAACUGCUCCCUUGGAAAAGUUGGUGGAUUCAAAAUCAUGAGGUUCCCUCACCCCCCAUCCUGAGCCAAACAAAACAUUCUUUACCUGCUCAGUCAUACCUGGUAAUUUCACAACGAUUAGGUGAUCGUGUUCCCUGACUCUCAUCGGCAGCAGGGCUCCUGGAAGUCCUGCUUCUCAUUACUACUGUGGACUGGAGCCUCCCCAGAGCUCCCUGGGGUCCUUGGCCUGGGUGAAGAUGGAUGAAGAUCAGAUCCAGCAGCUGUGGGUAGAGGAGGGUCCAGGAAGCAGGCACAAAGAGAGGUAAUUCAUCCACAUGGCAAAACAGAGCAUGAUCUGGGGAAGCUGGAGGCCUCCCAAACAGGGCCUCAACUGUCAGAACAUGUAAUAAACAUAACCAGCCAGAGGACUGAGGGGAGGCAGAAGGCACACAGUUAACCACUGCAGCAGAAAGUAGCAGAAAUGAAGGGAGAAGGCAAUGUUCUAGAUAGAAACUGCUUUAUUGGCCUGGGUUUCUUGGAGCGAAGAAACAUUGAGGAGCAGAUCCCCCAGCUGAUUCAGCAGACGUGCAGCAGAAGCCGACGGAAACCUCUGCUGUUUUAAGGCACUGAGAUUUUGGAGUUGUUUGCUAUCAUAGUGUAAUCUAUCAUCUCCUAACUGAUUCAAUGUGUUUAUCACAAUUAAUUGGUUUUUCUCAGUUUUAAUAACCAUAGAAAUACACAGCUGUCAUUCAGAGCCUCUAACAAGAAAGUGGUGUGACUCAUUAAACUGGUAGCACUCCUGCCAAAACCAAAGCAAUGUGAUCAUUCCAGUAGCAAUUGUUGCAAUAGAACCGUUUUAUUAUUUGUAAGAUAAAUGUAAUUUCUGCUAGGCUUUUUCAGCCUCUGGAUAUAUCUUAGAUGCUCAUGACUACUUCAGCUCCUGUUUUUACUGAGUGUGCUUAGUUCAACUGUCACUGGCUUAUGUAUCCCGGGGCCCUUCCAGUUGGGCAUGCUGGAAAAAAAAACAUCCUCUUUGGAAGCAGUAGUACGUUCUUGAACCUCUCUGAACCUCAGUUUCCUUACUUAUAAAACAAGAAUUACAAAUACUACCUCACAGAGUUGUCAUGAUCAUCAAAUGAAAUAUUAUAAUUGCUGCUCUUCAAGCAGUAUACAGCACAGGUACAGCUGGCUCUCUGAAUGGGUCAGGUACCUUUCAGCUCUAAGGAAGGUGACCAUGAGUUUAGGUUUGCCCUAAAUGCUCCCAGUUUCUGCUACUUGUUCUUAUAUCACAAUUAUUAUUUUAAAAAUAAUGAUGUAUUUAAUUUAAUCUGGAGCAAUUUUGUUCAAUCUUUCUAUGUCUUUUGUGGCAUUGACAUUUUUAAAGUGGACAGGUCAGUUAUUUUGCAGAAUGUUCCUUAAUUUGGUGUUAUCUGUUUCCUCAUGAUUAGAUUUAGAUUAUGCUAUUUUUUGGCAAAAAUGUCACAGAAAGAUGUGUGUUCUUCUCAGUGCUUUGUGUCAAGAGGCACAAGAUGUGAAAUUGUCCCCUUACUGGUGAUGUUAAUUUUGAUCUCUUGGUUAGGUGGUAUCUUCCAGAUUUCUCUGCUAUGAAGUUUACAUUUUCCCCUUUGUAAUUAAUAAGUGACUUUGCAAGAGAUAACUUAAAACUAUGCACAUAUCCUGUUACUCCUGAAACUUUCAUCCAGGAGUUUUAAUAUCCAUUAAUAAUUCUUGUCUAAAUCUAUUAUUGUCAUGGCUGCUGUCUUAGUUUGUGUUGCUAUAACAAAAUACACAGACUACAUAAUUGAUCAAAUAACAGACACUUAUUUCUCACAGUUCUGGAGGCCUUGGAAUUCCAUGAUCAAGACACCAGCAGAUUCAGUGUCUGGUGAGGGCCUGGUGCCUUGGUGCUAAGUCCUCAAGAGAGGAUGAACAUUGUGUCCUCACGCGGUGGAAUGCAGAAGGGUAAAGGGCCUAGUUAGUUGCUAUCAGCCCUUUAAGGCACUUAAUCCAAUCCAUGAGAGCAGAGCCCUCCUGGCCUAAUCACCUCCUAAAGUCCCCACCUCUUAAUACUAUCACAUUGGUAUCAAGAUUCAGCAUAUGAAUUUUGGAGGACACAUUGAGAGUAUAGCAAUUACCAAAUGGUGAUCUUCUAAAUACAAUAUUUUUUUACUUUUAUUAGUUGGCUUUCUACUGUAAGGAAAAGCUUUCCCUUCCCGAUCAUUUGCUUACUCAGAUCCAUAGGGACUCACAUAUGUAGUCUUAUUUUAGUCAAUGGAUUUUGACAUUGAUUUUGUUGAUUUUCUUUGAUGCUCAAAUUGUACCACUGGCCAUCUCUAGUCAUUUUCUAAGUCUGUUUCAAAAACCAUGUCUUUCAGAAGCCUGAUUUAGUCCACUUCAGCCAGUCAGUAACUCUCAUUUCUGUGCUCCUCUCAGUCUAUGUACUUUCCACUCCUUAUACAAGUUUCUUAUUGGGUUGUACUUGUUGGUUUCUUUUCUCACAUUAGAUUGUGAGCUCUUCAGUAUGAAGGAAGUGUCUGAUUUAUCUCUAUAUCCUUAAUGCUUAGCACAGAGACUGGUGCAUGGAGGAAACUCAAUUUUUCCUUAUUAAAAAGCAUGAAUGAAUGGAAGAAAGAAAAACAGUUCUUAAGUUUCUACCAACCAGUUCCAAUCCCUUUUUGGGGUACUAGCUUUAACUAGCAAAAAGAAAUUAUCUGUAACAUUCAUAGCAGGCUGCUGUGAGUCUUGCAAUAGUGAGGCUGAUUCAAGGUGGAUUAAAUUGUCAACAUGUUUGAAUUUAACAUAAAUGAUCCCCCCAUUUCAGAAGCUGCCUGCCAACUCUGAUCUCAUAUCCUUAGUGAUUCUUUACUAUUAGCUUGAUAUGGUGUUGUUUUCUCUCCUAGUUCCUCACUCAAUAGGAACUGCUCUCCCCAAAGAUGAAAAGAAGGGAUGUAAUAACCUUUCCAUCACAGGUGGUGAACCUAGAGGAGAGGAUCUGAAUCCCUGAUCAGUCGGUCCAGGUUUGGCUUCCUUUCUGUGCAGCUCAGAUGAGUGACUUUGGGUGAGUUGCCUAACCUGAUUCAUCCUUUGCUUCCUUCACUCUGAAAUAAGGAUCAUAGCAUCUGUGACCCCAACUGAGGUAACCUGAGUGAAAGCAAAAUCACUUUGGAACUGAGAAACUGCUCUCUGGAACCUCCGCACCUUGGCACGUGGCAAUCCAUUUGCCUGAGAUGCCCUUCCUUGCCUCUGUUGUCUCUUUCUUGGCAAAUCCUUUCUGAUACCUCAGGGUUCUGCCUAUGUGUCAUCUCCUUGAGUGACAUAGUGCACUCCAGGUCUCUGUUUUGUCUGUACACACAUAAAAAGUCCCCUGGGUUAUACAUUUUGUGUUCACAGCCUAAGCCCUGAACUGCACCCGGAUGUUUCUCCUCAAGGUCAUGACGGUGUUAUGUAUUUAUUUCUUUGUAUAAUAAUGAUCCCCAGUUAAACUUUUAUCUUUCUGACCAUGAAAUUAUCUUUUGUCUCCCUCAAGUUCCCCCUCAAAUCACAAGGUGUACCCCAAAUUCUCAUCCUUGAGAAUAUCCUCUAUGUGAGGCACUCAUGCCUGCUCAUCCUAACCCAAUAUACUUCCCCUAGAUUUGGGAAGAAGAAAACUGUUUUAGGUGCCAAGAUGGACUGCAGAGGCCAGAAAAUAUGUAUUAAAAGAGGAGACAAUAUUUUUAUCAGGGAUUUUUAAAAGGAGCCAGAUAGGUGACAUUAAAACUUUCCUUUGGCAGCUCAUUCCCAAUGAAGAAGUAAUCAGACUCCACCUGAUUUAUCAGCUUUCACAACCAACUCUAUUUUCUUUCUCUCAUCCCUGUCUUUCCUUCAAGUGCAAUCUAGGGUGCAGCUACUUUAAUCUUACUGUUCUUCAAACAUGACUUCUUCCUUGUUUCUUUGUCUUGUCUCAAGGUACUUCUUCUGCCAGCAUAUCCUGUCCUAUCCCUCAAUGUUACCCGGAAAAUUGCUCAAAAAUCAUCUUUUCUGUGAAGCAUCCCAAAUCAUCCCCAAGGCAGUAGGUCACUCACUUCUUUGAACAUUCCUCAAUAACAGCACAGAUCAAGGGCCUGUGCUACCUUCUGAUCUGCAGCUGCAAAUAUUGCCUGAUGCAAAAUGAAUACUCUGUAAUAUUUCUGAAAAGGUGAAAGUGAAAUAAUGUGGGACGGAGCUUAUAGUCAUUGUUUAUGUACACAUUCCAGGCAUAGGGUUAGAAGCUUUGAACAUACUGUAUCUUAAUUUUUACAACAACAAUUUUUAGUAAAUUUUCUUAUUUUCAAAGGACACUGGGGAUCAGAGAGUGAAGAACUUGCCUAUGGUCACACACCUGGUAAGCAGACAUCAUAUACAAACCAUGUUCUCUCCAAUACAUACACUACCAUUUCUAUAUUUAGAAAAUAUGUCAUAAAUAGGAUGUAAAUGCUAACUUUUCCUAUUUAAUUUCCUGUUUUACUAGAUUACAUAAGAGGACACAAAUGUUAUAGUUUUGGUUUGUUGCUUAUUUAUCUGUACGACCUUGAAUACAUUUUAAAGGAAUUCACUCAACUAUCAUCUCCUGUAAAAAGUGUUUCUUGAAUCCCUAGGCUGGAUAGAAUAUCUUUCCUUUGUCUUCCUGCUGUGGCCUGUGCAUAUCACUGGUGUUAAUUCAAAUAAUCAUCCCUUAUUUGUCAAUCUUUCCUACUAGACUGUUUUUUCCUUAAGAGCUGGACUGUGUCUUAAUUUAUCUUUUCUUUCUUUGAGCCUCACUCAAGAACUGGCACAUAGUGAAUACCUACUUAGUAUUUAUUGGGUUAAUAAAUAUAUGAAAGAAUAAAACUCCUUACCCUAUUUAGGCCCCACCUUAACAAUAUGAAAAAUAAAAGGUUGGACUAAGUCAGAGACACCACGAAUAUGGUACAUGUGCCACACUGAUCCUUUGCUGUGUCCUUGGCAGACAUUGCAAAUAAAUUACUUCUUUCUAUUCUGGACAUAAUUGCAAAAUCUUUCUCACUUUAGGGUGCACCUCCUAUGAGUGAACUUUAUUGCCAUACUUAAUUAGAUGUUCUUUCUGGCCCUUGACAGUUUCAGAUGCUCAGAGUCUGGUCCUUCCCGUCAGAAGGAAGUAUGUGUAAGAUGCUACCAAAGGUUGGGUCUAGGGGAUGAUGAAUGAUAUUCCUGCCUCUAUGUCACCUCCUGAAUUUUCAUCACUGCAUUCCUGAUUUGACAAGUGAUUUAACAUCCUAGGCUGGGGAAGGACUGAUGGAUGAAUUGGUCCUCUGUGCAUGGCUGUUGGGCAGGAAAUUAAUAAGAAUGCUAGCUGACAUGAUCUAUGGUACUGUCAGCUCAUUAUGCCUGAUUAGCUUCCAGCCUUUCACUCCCUCUGACAGCUACAGGGCCUCAGGGUUUCCAAUGGCAACUAUUUCCCUUUCUCUAAUUGAUUGCUAGGUCUCCGGCCAUGAAACCAAACCCUCCCACAGACUUGUCAGAGUAGGGAACCUUUCUGCAUCAUAUUACGUUCUCCCUUUUGGCAGUGGGAAGGUGAGCUCCUGGAUUGUCUAAGUGGUGUUGACAGUAAAGCCCUUUGAACUCAGGAAACAAAAUUUGAAGGGGUCAAAUCAGUCUAGUUGAUCAAGUUCUUAUCAAACUACUUACCAUGUGCUGAGGUCUGUGUUCAGUAAGGAAAUGGCAAAAGAAGUAGAUCAUAUGACAAUAAAAUAGGAGAGAAGCUUUAAAAUAUAUUUCAACAAACAUUUAUGAUGUACAAUAGCAACAAACACUGUGGCCUAUAUUCAAUUGAAUCCAAAUUGAAUUGUGUGUGUGUGUGUAUAUAUAUGUAUAUAUACACACACAUAUAUAUAUAUACACAUAUGUGUGUGUGUGUGUACAAAGUGAAUAUAUACACACAGGCACACCUUGUUUUAUUGCACUUCAUUCAAUUACACUUCACAGAUACUGCAUAUUUUACAAAUUGAAGGUUUGUGGCAACCCUGCAUUGAACAAGUCUGUUGGUACCGUUUUCCCAACAGCAUGUGCUUGCUUCAUGUCUCUGUCACAUUUUGGUAAUUCUUAUAAUAUUUCAAACUCUUUAAUUAUUAUAUGAGUUAUAGUGAUCUGUGAUCAGUGAUCUUUGAUGUUAGUAUUGUAAUUGUUUGGGGUGCCAGGAAAUAAACUUAAUUGAUAAAUGUGUAUUUUCUGACUGCUCCACAAACUGAUGGUCUCUCUGUUUUCUUCCUUCUCUCUUCAGGCCCCCAUACUCCCUGAGACACAACAACAUUGAUAUUAGACCAGUUAAUAACUCUACAAUGGCCUGUAAGUGUUCAAGUGAAAGGAAGAGUCGCAUAUCUCUCACUGUAAAUCAAAAACUAGAAAUGAUUAGGCUCAAUGAGGAAGCCACGUUGAAAGCUGAGAAAGGCUGAAAGUAGGCUUCUUGUGCCAAAUAGUUAGUCAAGUUGUGAAUGCAAAGAAAACAGGCUUGAAGGAAAUUUAAAGUGCUACUUCAGUGAACACAUGAAUAAUAAGAAAGUGAAUCAGCAUUAUUGCUAAUAGAAAGGAAGUUUCAGUGGUCUGGAUAGAAGAUCAAAUCAGCCAUAACAUUCCCUUAAGCCAAACCCUAAUC
RNAcentral lists this long non-coding RNA (6829 nucleotides) under Homo sapiens (human). RNAcentral's name for it is "HSALNT0292348". The record is from RNAcentral. Lineage: Eukaryota; Metazoa; Chordata; Mammalia; Primates; Hominidae.